Molecule: ribosomal RNA, 253 nt
Filed under: uncultured bacterium
Lineage: Bacteria
Description: partial 16S ribosomal RNA
Rfam family: Bacterial small subunit ribosomal RNA
Source: RNAcentral
UACGAAGGGGGCUAGCGUUGUUCGGAAUCACUGGGCGUAAAGCGCACGUAGGCGGACUCUUAAGUCAGGGGUGAAAGCCUGAGGCUCAACCUCAGAACUGCCUUUGAUACUGGGAGUCUUGAGUGUGGUAGAGGUCGGUGGAAUAGCAAGUGUAGAGGUGAAAUUCGUAGAUAUUUGCUAGAACACCAGUGGCGAAGGCGGCCGACUGGACCAUAACUGACGCUGAGGUGCGAAAGCGUGGGGAGCAAACAGG